AUACUUACCUGUUGGGAAGAUACUGUGAUCACGAAGGUGGCUCACUCAGGGCGAGGCUUAACCGUUGCAAUCUGAUUGUGCUAAUCCCUCCGAUUUCAAAAUGUGAGAAUUGUAGUUGCGUAAUUUCGGGUGAUGGAGGACUGCGUUUGUGCUCUACCCUG
Small nuclear RNA from Morone saxatilis (striped sea-bass), 161 nucleotides. RefSeq annotates it as U1 spliceosomal RNA. The transcript has a single exon. The record is from RefSeq and is a predicted model, not a curated record. NCBI's taxonomy places the organism in Eukaryota, Metazoa, Chordata, Actinopteri, Moronidae.